GCCAGCAGCCAUAUCACCUUGCAACUCACAGCUGACAACCCACUGAAGCUAGGCAGGUGUGAGUCUGGCCAGUACCUGGAUGGGAGACCUCCUGGGAAAGCUAAGGUUGCUGUAGGAA
RNAcentral lists this ribosomal RNA (118 nucleotides) under Lepisosteus oculatus (spotted gar). The record is from RNAcentral. Lineage: Eukaryota; Metazoa; Chordata; Actinopteri; Semionotiformes; Lepisosteidae.